Molecule: unclassified non-coding RNA, 294 nt
Filed under: Hevea brasiliensis (rubber tree)
Lineage: Eukaryota; Viridiplantae; Streptophyta; Magnoliopsida; Malpighiales; Euphorbiaceae
Source: RNAcentral
GUGCCAUGGCUCUAUGCUCUGAUUCUGCAUAAAUUACAUUUUGCUUCUUACUCUUCCAAGACACUAAAUUUCUUUUAACAAAGAUACAAUGCCUAGUAGUAAUCUUCUGUCAACUUUGGAUCCUGCCCAAACUGCAUAUGAAAAAAUUAAAUAUUAAAAUGUCAAAGAUUUGAAUACAUCAAAUCCCUUUCUGGAGAAAUCUUAAGUAACACAAGAUUUUUUCUAAUGCUGCCCAAUGAUUAACUGUUGGAGAAUACAUGAACUAACUUACUACACUAACAAAGUAUGCAAUGU